RNAcentral lists this transfer RNA (65 nucleotides) under Dipodomys ordii (Ord's kangaroo rat). It matches the Rfam family "tRNA". From Rfam's summary of the family: Transfer RNA (tRNA) molecules are approximately 80 nucleotides in length. Their secondary structure includes four short double-helical elements and three loops (D, anti-codon, and T loops). The record is from Rfam by way of RNAcentral. Lineage: Eukaryota; Metazoa; Chordata; Mammalia; Rodentia; Heteromyidae.
GGUGGCUCAGUGGUAGAGCGCUUGACUUGCAUGCAAGAGACCCUGGGAUUGAUUCCUUAGCACCA